CCUGUUAACAACUUACCUUCCAUUACCAUCACCUCAAAAAUAUGUAUAUCUAGUUGAGCUGAAAUACGCAACAAACAGAUAAGAAACUGAAAACUAAUUUUACCAUCAUUCAUUUAUUUUCGAUGAUAAAAUUUUUAAAUCAACGAUCGAUAUUAUUGAAUAUAAUCUAUACUACUUAAAAUUUUUAAAAACUAAAUUUUAUAUUUUUUCAAUAUAAUUGUCUCAUCCAUCAAAAUGAACGACUAAAAAUAAAUAUCCUUUAAAAAGUAAUAAUAUGAAUCUUAUAAUCAAGGUCUAGACUAUAAAUUCUGUUCUAAACAGUUUAAAAAAAAUUUUAAUUAAAAUUUAAUUAAUUUAGAUAUCUUUACACUGUUAGACGAGAAAAUAUCUCAUAUCGAUAAUUAAAAUUACAAAUUUUAAAACCCUUUGAUCAUUAAGUCAAUUAUGUUAAAAAGAUUUAAAAUUUGAUUUCUAAAUACUUAAAGUGGUAUAGAUUAUAUUCAACGGUGUUGAUCGUCAAUUUGAAGGCUUCAUCAUCGAAAAUAAAUGGGCGGUAACGGAGCCCAUUUGCUAUCGAUAGCAUCUCAGCGCAACUAUAUAUAUAUAUAUAUAUAGUAUUAAAUUUUAAUCAUAUUAAUAUAAGCUUGAAGUUCAACUCCUCAUAUUUCUUUCAUCGAAAAUUAAUGAAAUGAUCAGUUGAGGUAGAAUACUUUGGAGAGUAUAAGGACUUACACGCGCAGCCAAACCUGUUUCCAGAGGGAGACGGACAUUCCAAAUUCUGGCAGCGGUGAUUCGCCCUCAAAACCCUUCAAAUCCCCCUCUUUACAUAUCUCAAGGCAGAUAUAAUAUCUACAUCUAUAAAAGAAAUACAAAGAGAAAGAAAAAGAAAUAAGCUGUCACAUGUAGGUAGAUAUGUCCAUCAUUCCAGUGGUUGGUUAUAAGAAACAAAUACUAUAGGAUGCACGUACGCUAUUGUCUCCAGGCUUUUGAUGCUAAUUUUUGUUGUUAAAGGUCCCCAGCUCAUAGCAGUAUAUAUUAACUAGAGCAUUUUAUAUUCUCUCUUUGGCUUUUAAAGGAGAUUAUUAUUUGGAAAAGUGCUUUUGAUUGUUGGAAGCACGUAUGUGAGAGAGGUGGGAGCCACACCUUAAAAGCAGUAAAAGGCUAAAAGCUGGUAUGUAUCACAAGGGUGCAGUAUUCAAGUGGUUAUGAAGUAGCGCACCCUAAUGAAUAAUUUCACUGUCACGUGUCAGGUUGAAAUAAUACUCCCUAGUCCCCUUGUCUCUGUGGAGGGAGUGGACAUUUUCUUGUUGGAGGAUAGUGUGACGAUGUGGUCUUUGUGCGAGGGGUGUAUUGGGAUCUUCCUUCCCCGCACCCCAUGGUCCUCCAUUGUAUCAUCCUAUCACAAAUCUAACUUAGAUAAAAAAAAAUGUAUAAAAUUUAUCUUAAAUUAUUAUUGUAAACAACAUUUUGUAAAAAAUGUAUACUCUGCCAUGUGCCAGAAUAUAACUUCACGAAAUAUAUGGUAAACAAACUAUUUUGCAACCUUUUUUUAAAAUAAUUCAAGUAUUUUAGAAGACUCCAAAAGAAAAAAAAAAUCAAUAGAAUAAUUGAGAGGAAGAGAUGGAGCAUCAAAGCCUUGCAUUUAAAUUUCAAAUCAUGUCAGUUUUGAAGUAAAAAAAAAAGGCUUAAUUACACUAUUACAUUGUACUGUAGUGUAGACAUUAAAAAAAAAAACAAUUUGUAAAUUACAAUGUAGUAUAGUAUUAUUAAGCCAAAAAAAAUCCAAGAUAUAUAUGCCAAUUCAGAAUUCAACAUAAUCCAAAUACUUACUCACCGACUAUCCCUAGAGCAAGUGGCAAAGGAUUUGGUGGUUGAUAUCCGAGUUCCCAAGUUCGAAUCCUAAUUGAUUAAUAUUUUUAGCUAAGUUUAUUUUUAAAUAAAAUAAACAAAACAGGUAGCGUGCUACCUAUUUCUAAAAAAAAAAAAUACUUACUCUAAAUAUAAAAAAAGGACAGUCAACUACUUACAUAACAAAACGAGAAUGGUGUCUAUUCUAAUCUGAAGUCUACUCUGCAGUAACUCCAUCAAAGAGAAUCAGAGAUAGGAGGAAAAACACUAUUAAGAAAGCAGCAGAAAUNAAUAUAUAUAUAUAUAUAUAUAUAUAUAUAUAUAUAUAUAUAUAUAUAUAGUUGAGCUGAAAUACGUAAAAAAACAGAUAACAAACUGAAAACUAGUUUUACCGUUAUUCAUUUAUUUUCGAUGAUGAAAUUUCUAAAUCAACGAUCGGUACUGUUGAAUAUAAUAUAUACUAUUUGAAAUUUCUAGAAACCAAAUUUUAUAUUUUCUCAAUAUAAUUGUCUUGUUCAUCAAAAUGACGAUUAAAAAUAAAUAUUCUUUAAAAAGUGAUGAUAGGAAUCUUAUAAUCAAGAUCUAGACUAUAAAUUCUGUUCUAAACAGUUUUUUUAAAAAAAUUUAAUUAAAAUUUAAUUGAUUUAGAUAUCUUUACACUGUUAGACGAGAAAAUGUCUUAUAUCGAUAAUUAAAAUUACAAAUUUUAAAACCAUUUGAUCAUUAAGCCAAUUAUGUUAAAAAGAUUUAAAAUUUGAUUUCUAAAUACUUAAGGUGGUAUAGAUUAUAUUCAACGGUGUUGAUCGUCAAUUUGAAGACUUCAUCAUCGAAAAUAAAUGGGCAGUAACGGAGCCCAUUUGCUAUCGAUAACAUUUCAGCGCAAUNAA
Molecule: long non-coding RNA, 2735 nt
Filed under: Ananas comosus (pineapple)
Lineage: Eukaryota; Viridiplantae; Streptophyta; Magnoliopsida; Poales; Bromeliaceae
Description: long non-coding RNA (ACOM_LNC011413)
Source: RNAcentral